Molecule: ribosomal RNA, 468 nt
Filed under: uncultured bacterium
Lineage: Bacteria
Description: partial 16S ribosomal RNA
Rfam family: Bacterial small subunit ribosomal RNA
Source: RNAcentral
GACGAACGCUGGCGGCGGGCUUAACACAUGCAAGUCGAACGGAAAGGCCCUGCUUUUGUGGGGUGCUCGAGUGGCGAACGGGUGAGUAACACGUGAGUAACCUGCCCUUGACUUUGGUAUAACUUCAGGAAACUGGGGCUAAUACCGUAUAGGAGCUCCUGCUGCAUUGUGGGGGUUGGAUAUUUUCGGCGGUUGGGGCUGGACUCGCGGCUGAUCAGCUUGUUGGUGGGGUAGUGGCUUACCAAGGCUUUGACGGGUAGCCGGCCUGAGAGGGUGACCGGCCACAUUGGGACUGAGAUACGGCGCAGACUGCUACGGGAGGCAGCAGUGGGGAAUAUUGCACAAUGGGAGGAAGCCUGAUGCAGAAACGCCGCGUGCGGGAUGACGGCCUUCGGGUUGUAAACCGCAUUAGCCUGUGACGCAGCGUGAGUGACGGUAAUGGGUAAAGAAGCACCGGCUAACUACGUG